RNAcentral lists this ribosomal RNA (652 nucleotides) under Pseudomonas aeruginosa. Its description in RNAcentral is "bacterial SSU rRNA". It matches the Rfam family "Bacterial small subunit ribosomal RNA", at positions 122 to 771 of the family's 1533-position model. The record is from RNAcentral. Lineage: Bacteria; Pseudomonadati; Pseudomonadota; Gammaproteobacteria; Pseudomonadales; Pseudomonadaceae.
GAAUCUGCCUGGUAGAGGGGGAUAACUUCCGGAAACAGGCGCUAAUACCUCAUACGUCCUGAGGGAGAAAGUGGGGGAUCUUCGGACCUCCCUCUAUCCAAUGAACCUAGGUCGGAUUAACUAGUUGGUGGGGUAAAGGCCUACCCAGGCGACCAUCCAUAACUGGUCUGAGAGGAUGAUCAACCACACUGGAACUGAGACACAGUCCAGACUCCUACCGGAGGCAGGAAUGGGGAAUAUUGGACAAUGGGCGAAAGCCUGAUCCAUCCAUGCCGCGUGUGUGAAGAAGGUCUUCGGAUUGUAAAGCACUUUAAUUUGGGAGGAAGGGCAGUAAGUUAAUACCUUGCUGUUUUGACGUUACCAACACAAUAAGCACCGGCUAACUUCGUGCCAGCAGCCGCGGUAAUACGAAGGGUGCAAGCGUUAAUCGGAAUUACUGGGCGUAAAGCGCGCGUAGGUGGUUCAGCAAGUUGGAUGUGAAAUCCCCGGGCUCAACCUGGGAACUGCAUCCAAAACUACUGAGCUAGAGUACGGUAGAGGGUGGUGGAAUUUCCUGUGUAGCGGCGAAAUGCGUAGAUAUAGGAAGGAACACCAUGGCGAAGCGACCACCUGGACUGAUACUGACACUGAUGUGCGAAAGCGUGGGGAGCAA